Molecule: long non-coding RNA, 359 nt
Filed under: Setaria italica (foxtail millet)
Lineage: Eukaryota; Viridiplantae; Streptophyta; Magnoliopsida; Poales; Poaceae
Description: long non-coding RNA (SITA_LNC007123)
Source: RNAcentral
UUGCUCCCUGAUGCAACUGGCACCACCUGUGGCCAGCGUCUUGAGAAGGUCCUUGGCACUGAGCACUGCCAUAUCCUUCGUGUGCCAUUCAGAACUGAGAAUGGAAUUGUUCGCAAGUGGAUCUCGCGUUUCGAAGUCUGGCCAUACCUGGAGACUUACACCGAUGUAAAUACCAAAUGUUGACUUCUAUUUAAUUUGUUUGUUAAAGAUGAACAUCUUGCUAACUCUUUCUUCAAUUGCUGCCAGGAUGUGGCGCACGAGAUUGCUGGAGAGCUCCAGGCCAAUCCUGACCUGAUCAUUGGAAACUACAGUGAUGGAAACCUUGUUGCUUGUUUGCUUGCCCACAAGAUGGGUGUUAC